RNAcentral lists this long non-coding RNA (1111 nucleotides) under Homo sapiens (human). RNAcentral's name for it is "HSALNT0370098". Lineage: Eukaryota; Metazoa; Chordata; Mammalia; Primates; Hominidae. The record is from RNAcentral.
GGUUAUUGGCAGGAAUGAAUGCAUUAACAGGGGUAGAGAACAUGGCAAGUGUCACAUAGACUUUAACUUUUCAUGGCUUUUAUCAUUAUGAUCAUCAUUUUUACUCGGACACACCUACGAAAAGACACUUAUGUCUUCCUCCACAUGCUGCCUGCUAAGGAUAUGCCUUAUUUCUAGGUCUGUGAGCUGCAUGUGUUAAAACGUGUUUGCAUUUGGGAUGGGGACUGAGGAAGCAUCUGGGGACUGGACAGAAGAGUUUCCCCAGGAUGCAGUACUUUGAACAAACCAUGGAUUCCAGAAAAGACAUCUGUUUCCAUCAAGAACUAACAUGGAAUAAUAACAAAGAAGAUGUGGCCACAUGCUCUCAGGUAGAAACUGAAGGUCAAAGAAGAGAUAUGAGAAGGAGUUUUCCCAUCAAGGGAGGUCCUUUUCUGAUGGAUGACUAAGCCCUGAGAAAUGCUUAGAAAUAGGCAAGAGGGGAUGAAUGCUGCUCUACAUUCAGGUAGCUUUUUGGCUUGGCAAAACUUUAAAAUGUGAUGAAAUCUCUAGAGAGCAAGAAAAAAAAGAUACAGAAAUGGAAAAACCCUUAUGGACCCCAACAACAACAACAACAACAAAACUGUUCUCUAUUACCAUGGUCCCAUCUAUUCCUAUUGAAAUGUAGACCAAGAUGGAUAAGAUGAAUAUUGUAUGUUGACACAGCAAAAUAAUCUGCAGUAACAAAGCCAUGCCUUUGCUUCCUAAAGUUAUCAGAAUGGCACCUUAAAAUUAUGGUCAUAAAGGAACCUGUGAUUGGCCAUACGUUUGAGUUUUCAAGAAGAGAUCUUACACGGAACAUGAGAAAACUACAGUGACUCUCUUGAGAUUUUUCGAAUGACACACAAGCACCAAAGAGGAACUUUUGCCUUUUCGGACAAGUUAAGUACAUUAAAUAUAAUAAGGUCUGAUAAAUCAGAAACAAAAAGUGAAAUUCAUGUUAAGGCCUCAACUCAGUGUUUUAGAAGAGAAUUUUUCUGGGUUUUAUAGUAUCUGACAGUUAAUAGGCCAGGCACAGUGGCUCACACCUGUAGUCUCAGCACUUUAGAAGACAGAGACAAGUGGAUCUCUUGAG